GGAUUUUUGGGCUUCAAAUCUUCAUUUUCAAGGUUGAAAGGUUUUAAUGGUAUUUCGGGACUACUUGAAUUAGAACCUUGGUGGUGCUAGUUUUGUCAGAUUCAUGGGUGGUUGAGACAUAGAUUGAGGCGUCCGCGUACUCCCAUCUUUUGGCCAGUUACUUUGACAUUCAGUAGCCAUAUCUCCCAUCUAAAGUCACUCUGCUGACAGUCAAGUUUUAAUUAUGUGUAUAUGACUAUUUGUUGUGAAAUGUUGAAAUUCGCUUGUCAAAUUAUAUGUAUGUAAAUAAUGGUUGAUGAUGCCAUUAUGAAUACAUGACUGGGUUUGAUGAGUUGUUUUCAAAAGAAUUGUAAUUGAGCAUUAUGAAAUUUCAGAUUUUAAAGAAAUAUGGAUUAACAUAUAAGAUCAUGUAAGUAGGCUUGCUCGGCCUUAGUGAGUUGAGCUCAUUGGGUUUUUGCAUCGAUCAUGGCCUUAAAAUUGGGCUACGACACUAUCUACUUUGAAAAUGUUUGUAUU
Non-coding RNA from Theobroma cacao (cacao), 516 nucleotides. The record is from RefSeq and is a predicted model, not a curated record. NCBI's taxonomy places the organism in Eukaryota, Viridiplantae, Streptophyta, Magnoliopsida, Malvales, Malvaceae.